AGCUCCUGGGCUAGCACUGCUAGACUUUAGAGCGAGUUAACCUACCUUAACAGCUGCCACCGCAGCCGGGGCUAUGGGUGGGAUAUCCCUCACACACACACACACACACACACACGUUCACCACACAGUCACCACUGAACACGCGCGCGUUUUAACACAUACACACACGCUCUAAACACGGUGCCAGAAUCGCAACAGCAAAGUCAGGUCGACUUAAUCAGUUUGUGCUAAUGAGCCAAAGAGCUGAUCACUGCAAUGGCUUUAGCAUUGUAAAUUGGACUUGAAACAGAGAUCAAUGAAUACGAAUUAAAGUUAUUCGAAUUAAAGUUAUUACAGCCUAGGUGUAAACGCGCCUGCAGGAUUGGUGAACUGCACAGAAGCUAUAGUGCGUAAAAUUUACAGCCCAAGUUAAAGUCCAAGGUUGUGUCACUGGAUGUCCCAGGAUAACUGACAACCAGCACCCCUCUCCCACAACACACAAAGUCACCACUGUAAUCAGAGGCUCGUUACAGUUGAAAAUAUAUGUAAAUUACACCUUCAGUUUUAGUGCUUUGGCCAAUCUAGAUUUCAUUAUAAAGCAGGCUGUAAAUAUACACCACAUUUCCCUCUCACUCUCGUUCUGUAUUCCUAUUUCACACGCUUUUAUUUUGUUGUAAUGGUGAACGAGUUUACUGCCGUAAUAUGGCGUUCAUUUGCUUUAAAUGGUGAUGAAAAAGUAAUUAUAGUCGCAAUCAGUUAUAUCCCAAUUCCGUUUGAUUGCCCGCUCCACUGUAUUCAAAUUGCCUCAAUAAAAUUAAGAACAAUUCGCCUGUAAUGAUUAUGGACCAAGUUUAUUUUCGGAGGUGGAAUAAAAGUGGAUAUAGCAUAAAUUAUCCGCUAAUUAUACGCCAGUGUCGCCUCAAUUAUCCUCUUAUCAAAAAUGGGAGCCUAAAUGCAGCGUUUAGUUUCAAUUUUCUCCCCUUUUCUGUACGCAGAGCUCGCUACCUUGCUAUUAUUGCCAGGGUUGUUAUUUACUUUGCGGCUUUAAAAAGUGCACCAGCGGCCUGGAUCGCCAUUCUCAUCCGGCGCGGCCAUUCAGUCGCUCGAGCUGCUGUCUUUCUGUCGUAACCCUGGUGGGGACCUGUCAGUUAUCCGGUCAGGAAAUUUGCAGGAAAUUCAGCAGUGUCUGCCCCGGAGAGCCCCGCCAACUACGCCCAUCAGAAGCUGUUGUUCACUGAAAUGAAGUGCAGAUUGUAUGCUCCGGCGCAUGGAGCUGCUCGCUGGGUCCUCUCAUCGCAAGAAAGCCCCACCACUGCGGAGGAACAAGCAGGAAUACAUUAAAAGGUAAAGAGAGAUCAGCCAGAAGAGGCACUGCUUGGCACCGUGGUGCUGGAGAGAGCUUUCAGCCUGAUGGUCGUGUCAUCUCUGUUGAGGAGCCAGAAGGGGUGGAGUUCAACGACGUUACUCAUGGCAACGGUUGCUAAGCCUCGCUUCUUGUUGAUGUGGUUAUUUGUAAAUCAAAACUGCGCGCAUGGCAUUAGCAAGUCCUAUUUGCAACAAAGCAAUCGUGCAUUUAUGUAACCUGUACGUACUUUCAUGCACAAUUGUGAAAAACCUAGAGGAUUUGAAUAAAUAUUUCAAAUGAGCCUUUUCAGAUGCCGCAUGUGUCAUUUACUCUAGGGCAAUCAUGGUAUGGGAGGAUCUGAAAUUACACCCUUCAAGGUUCCCUUAGUAGAAGCAAUUGUUAUGUAUAGAACCCUGGCUGACGACUCAACAAAUCUUCUGAAAGCUUAAAUGGUUCUUCUACAUAAUAGAGGAUUUGAGAGAACCUGCUCUGCAUGAAUAUAUUAGCUUAUAUACAGACAGUAUAUAUUAAUUUUCAGUUGAAGUUACAGUUACAUUUAUGAUAUUUAGCAGAAGCUCUUAACUAGAGCAACCUAAGGAAGUAUUUAGAUGUCCACUAAGAAAAAAAUCCUACCUAGUUUAAAUAGACUAGGGUUCAAAGAUGCUGUUAAGCAGAGAUACGACAAAAUAUAUAGAUCAGAUAUACAUACAUCCAUAUUAGUGACAAAGAAAUAAUUUAGAAAUCAAAAAAGACAUUUAAUUGGUUCUAUGCAUUACCCAAAAAGGUUCUAUACUUUCUCCAAGCCACGUAACCUUUAUUAUUCAUGUACUAUGUGAAUUGCAGCAGUGCGCCAAAAAUGAUAUGAAUAAAUGUUUUAAACUGGCCUUUAAAGAAACUGCAUGUGUCAUCUACUCUAUUGCAGGCAUCUUAUGGGAGGAUCAUAAAAUUACACCCUUCAAAGCUUCUUUAGCAAAGGUCCAGGAUAUUAAUAGAACAGUAAAUGCUUUCUAAAGGCCUGAACAGUGAAGAUCUUACUGUAUUUGCUUGUAUCUGGUUUUAAUGGUUCUAUGCAGUAAAAGCUUGUUUAGUGAAGGUCCUGAAUAUAAUAUCACUGUCCAAGAAAAAAAGAAAAAUAUAUUUUUUUUACAGUAAUUGUUUUUCUUCACCUAUAAAUUACUAUUUUGGAAAUACUUGUUUUUCUUUGGACAGUGAUGAUGUAUAAAAUUACAAAGAAUCUCCAGAAUGUUUUCUGAAUGGCUCACUGGUAAAGAUCUUACGCUAUAUAUUUCAUAAAUCUGCUCUUCAAUCAUUCUAUACAGCACCAAAAGGUUUCUUCUCCAGUUUCAAGCCACAAACCCCUUUUUUCAUGUACUAUGUGAAAUGCAUUAAAUAUGAUAACAAUAAACAUUUCAAGCUGGUCUCUUCUAAAACUGCAUGUCUCUUCUUCCUUAUAUUAAGAAUUUUGGAGAAGAACCAUGAAAUCACAAUCUUCAAUGGGUUCUUUAGCAACGGUAUUUGAUGUAUAGUACAGUUACAAUUCAAUUAACCAAUAAUUUAAUGGAUUACUGCAUAUAUAUACUAUGUGAAAUGCACCAGUGCACCAAAAUGAGUGACUAUCACUAAAUAUUUCAAACUGGCCUUUCAUGUACUUUAUGUCAUCUGCUCUAUUGCAAACAUCUGAUGGGAGGAUCAUAAAAUGACACCCUUCAAAGCUUCUUAAGUAAAGGUCCUGGUUAAAAAUAGAACAGUGACAAACACAAAGAACCUUCUGAAUGCUUUCUGAAAGCCAUGGUGGUGAACCUACUGCAUAUGUUUAUAUCUGUUUCUUUAAAGGCUUAUUUUUAAGGUACCAAAAUGGUUUCUCUAUGGUAACAAGUACACAUAAUGUUUAUACACUUUAUGUGAAAUGUAUCAAAGACUAUAUGAAUAAAUAAACCAUAUGGACAUAGUA
This is a long non-coding RNA of Astyanax mexicanus (Mexican tetra), 3275 nucleotides long. RefSeq lists it as uncharacterized. The transcript is spliced from 2 exons. The record is from RefSeq and is a predicted model, not a curated record. Lineage: Eukaryota; Metazoa; Chordata; Actinopteri; Characiformes; Acestrorhamphidae.